GGCUCUGUAGCUCAAUGGUAGAGUGCUUGCCUAGCACGCGUGAGGCACUGGGUUCGAUUCUCAGCACCA
RNAcentral lists this transfer RNA (69 nucleotides) under Marmota marmota marmota (Alpine marmot). It matches the Rfam family "tRNA". Rfam says of the family: Transfer RNA (tRNA) molecules are approximately 80 nucleotides in length. Their secondary structure includes four short double-helical elements and three loops (D, anti-codon, and T loops). Lineage: Eukaryota; Metazoa; Chordata; Mammalia; Rodentia; Sciuridae. The record is from Rfam by way of RNAcentral. RNAcentral also lists the same sequence under 4 other names.